Molecule: ribosomal RNA, 253 nt
Filed under: uncultured bacterium
Lineage: Bacteria
Description: partial 16S ribosomal RNA
Rfam family: Bacterial small subunit ribosomal RNA
Source: RNAcentral
GACGAAGGAUGCAAGCGUUAUCCGGAUUCAUUGGGUUUAAAGGGAGCGUAGGUGGCCUUAUAAGUCAGUGGUGAAAUCUCGCAGCUUAACUGCGAAAUUGCCAUUGAUACUGUAGGGCUUGAGUAUAGUUGCCGUUGGCGGAAUAUGACAUGUAGUGGUGAAAUACAUAGAUAUGACAUAGAACACCGAUAGCGAAGGCAGCUUGCUACACAGUUAUUGACACUGAGGCACGAAAGCGUGGGGAGCAAACAGG